UUUUUAUGGAGAGUUUGAUCCUGGCUCAGGAUGAACGCUGGCGGCGUGCCUAAUACAUGCAAGUCGAGCGAACAGA
Molecule: ribosomal RNA, 76 nt
Filed under: Staphylococcus pettenkoferi
Lineage: Bacteria; Bacillati; Bacillota; Bacilli; Caryophanales; Staphylococcaceae
Description: partial 16S ribosomal RNA
Rfam family: Bacterial small subunit ribosomal RNA
Source: RNAcentral